RNAcentral lists this ribosomal RNA (467 nucleotides) under uncultured bacterium. Its description in RNAcentral is "partial 16S ribosomal RNA". It matches the Rfam family "Bacterial small subunit ribosomal RNA", at positions 29 to 507 of the family's 1533-position model. The record is from RNAcentral.
ACGAACGCUGGCGGCGUGCUUAACACAUGCAAGUCGAACGGAAAGGCCCUGCUUUUGUGGGGUGCUCGAGUGGCGAACGGGUGAGUAACACGUGAGUAACCUGCCCUUGUCUUUGGGAUAACUUCAGGAAACUGGGGCUAAUACCGGAUAGGAGCUCCUGCUGCAUGGUGGGGGUUGGAAAGUUUCGGCGGUUGGGGAUGGACUGGCAGCUUAUCAGCUUGUUGGUGGGGUAGUGGCUUACCAAGGCUUUGACGGGUAGCCGGCCUGGGAGGGUGACCGGCCACAUUGGGACUGAGGUACGGCCCAGAAUCCUACGGGAGGCAGCAGUGGGGAAUAUUGCACAAUGAGCGGAAGCCUGAUGCAGCAACGCCGCGUGCGGGAUGACGGCCUUCGGGUUGUAAACCGCUUUCGCCUGUGACGAAGCGUGAGUGACGGUAAUGGGUAAAGAAGCACCGGCUAACUACGUG